RNAcentral lists this ribosomal RNA (486 nucleotides) under Apocephalus borealis. RNAcentral describes it as "SSU rRNA". It matches the Rfam family "Eukaryotic small subunit ribosomal RNA", at positions 626 to 1079 of the family's 1831-position model. Lineage: Eukaryota; Metazoa; Arthropoda; Insecta; Diptera; Phoridae. The record is from RNAcentral.
GUACACCUAUACAUUGGGUUCGUACAUUACUCUAUAGUAUGUGAGCGUAUUACCGGUGGAGUUCUUAUAUGCAAUAGUAUUCGUAUUAUUGUAUAUUCCUCCUAUUCAAACCUACUUCAGUGCUCUUCAUCGAGUGUUGUUGUGGGCCGGUACAAUUACUUUGAACAAAUUAGAGUGCUUAAAGCAGGCUUCAAAUGCCUGAAUAUUUGUGCAUGGAAUAAUGGAAUAAGACCUCUGUUCUACUUUCAUUGGUUUAUAGAUCAAGAGGUAAUGAUUAAUAGAAGCAGUUUGGGGGCAUUAGUAUUACGACGCGAGAGGUGAAAUUCUUGGACCGUCGUAAGACUAACUUAAGCGAAAGCAUUUGCCAAAGAUGUUUUCAUUAAUCAAGAACGAAAGUUAGAGGUUCGAAGGCGAUCAGAUACCGCCCUAGUUCUAACCAUAAACGAUGCCAGCUAGCAAUUGGGUGUAGCUACUUUUAUGGCUCUC